This 1519-nucleotide ribosomal RNA is filed under the name bioreactor metagenome. RNAcentral describes it as "bacterial LSU rRNA". It matches the Rfam family "Bacterial large subunit ribosomal RNA", at positions 496 to 1982 of the family's 2925-position model. The record is from RNAcentral.
CAGUACCGUGAGGGAAAGGUGAAAAGAACCCCGGGAGGGGAGUGAAAUAGUACCUGAAACCGCAUGCCUACAAUCAGUGGGAGGACGAUGUCUUCGGACCGUCUGACCGCGUGCCUAUUGCAUAAUGAGCCGGCGAGUUACCUUGUGUGGCCAGGCUAAGGGCUUCUGGUCCAUAGCCGUAGCGAAAGCGAGUCUGAAUAGGGCGACUAGUCGCACAGGGUAGACCCGAAACCGAGUGAUCUAUCCAUGGCCAGGGUGAAGUUUCCGUAAAAGGAAAUGGAGGCCCCAACCAAUGGCAGUUGAAAAUGCUUUGGAUGAGCUGUGGAUAGGGGUGAAAGGCCAAUCAAACUCGGCAAUAGCUGGUUCUCCUCGAAAUAGUUUUGGGACUAGCCUCGCAUGGUAGCCGACGGGGGUAGAGCACUGAAUGGGCUAGGGGUCCUACCAGACUACCGAACCCAAUCAAACUCCGAAUACCGUUGGUGGAACUGCGGGAGUCAGACUGUGGGGGAUAAGCUCCAUGGUCAAAAGGGAAAGAGCCCAGAUCGCCAGCUAAGGUCCCUAAACUGAGCUAAGUGGGAAAGGAUGUGUAACUGCCCAGACAACCAGGAUGUUGGCUUAGAAGCAGCCAUUCAUUUAAAGAGUGCGUAACAGCUCACUGGUCAAGUGAUUAUGCGCCGAAGAUGUACCGGGGCUAAGCUCAGUACCGAAGCUGCGAAUCACGCCUUCGGGCGUGAUGGUAGAGGAGCAUUCCAUUCAGGAUUGAAGCACGAUCGAAAGAACGUGUGGACCGUAUGGAAGAGAUCAUGCCGGCAUCAGUAACGAAAAAGCAGGUGAGAAACCUGCUCGCCGAAAAUCCAAGGGUUCCCGGGGAAGGAUAAUCCGCCCGGGGUUAGUCGGAGCCUAAGCCGAGGCCGAAAGGCGUAGGCGAUGGGAAACAGGCACAAAGAUUCCUGUACCACCGCGCCAUCGUUUGAGCGAUGGGGUGACGCAGGAGGAUAGGGCGGCCGUCUGUUGGCUUAGACGGUCUAAGCGUGUGGGAGGUAGCCCAGGCAAAUCCGGGCUGCAAUACUCCGAGGCGUUAAGGGACGUGGAUGGGAAACUUGAAGCGGAUCGCUCGAUUCCAUACUGCCAAGAAAAACCUCUAGCGAGGUGGCCGGUGUCCGUACCGUAAACCGACACAGGUGGAUGAGAAGAGGAUUCUAAGGCGCUCGGGAGACCACUCCUUAAGGAACUCGACCAAUUGGCCCCGUAACUUCGGAAGAAGGGGUGCUCUGGCCGGUGAAGGACUUGCUCCGUAAGCUGGCUGGAGUCGCAGCGAAGAGGUUCAGGCGACUGUUUACUAAAAACACAGGUCUCUGCAAAGUCGCAAGACGACGUAUAGGGACUGACGCCUGCCCAAUGCCGGAAGGUUAACGGGAGGAGUCAACGCUUCGGCGUGAAGCUCUGAACCGAAGCCCCGGUUAAUGGCGGCCGUAACUAUAACGGUCCUAAGGUAGCGAAAUUCCUUGUCGGGUAAGUU